AGCGAACGCUGGCGGCAGGCUUAACACAUGCAAGUCGAGCGGGCGUAGCAAUACGUCAGCGGCAGACGGGUGAGUAACGCGUGGGAACGUGCCCUUUAGUUCGGAACAACACAGGGAAACUUGUGCUAAUACCGGAUAAGCCCUUACGGGGAAAGAUUUAUCGCCGAAGGAUCGGCCCGCGUCUGAUUAGCUUGUUGGUGGGGUAACGGCUCACCAAGGCUACGAUCGGUAGCUGGUCUGAGAGGAUGAUCAGCCACACUGGGACUGAGACACGGCCCAGACUCCUACGGGAGGCAGCAGUGGGGAAUAUUGGACAAUGGGGGCAACCCUGAUCCAGCCAUGCCGCGUGGGUGAUGAAGGCCCUAGGGUUGUAAAGCUCUUUCGGCGGGGAAGAUAAUGACGGUACCCGCAUAAGAAGCCCCGGCUAACUUCGUGCCAGCAGCCGCCGUAA
Molecule: ribosomal RNA, 451 nt
Filed under: uncultured bacterium
Lineage: Bacteria
Description: partial 16S ribosomal RNA
Rfam family: Bacterial small subunit ribosomal RNA
Source: RNAcentral